RNAcentral lists this ribosomal RNA (265 nucleotides) under uncultured archaeon. RNAcentral describes it as "partial 16S ribosomal RNA". It matches the Rfam family "Archaeal small subunit ribosomal RNA", at positions 717 to 982 of the family's 1478-position model. The record is from RNAcentral.
ACACGACUACAUUAGAUACCCGCGUAGUCCUAGCCGUAAACGAUACUCGCUAGGUGUCGGCCACGGUGCGACCGUUGUCGGUGCCGUAGGGAAGCCGUGAAGCGAGCCACCUGGGAAGUACGGCCGCAAGGCUGAAACUUAAAGGAAUUGGCGGGGGAGCACCACAACGGGUGGAGUUUGCGGUUUAAUUGGAUUCAACGCCGGAAAUCUUACCGGGACCGACAGCAACAUGAAGGCCAGGCUGAAGACUUUGCCGGAUUAGCUG